Molecule: ribosomal RNA, 497 nt
Filed under: uncultured bacterium
Lineage: Bacteria
Description: partial 16S ribosomal RNA
Rfam family: Bacterial small subunit ribosomal RNA
Source: RNAcentral
GAUGAACGCUGGCGGCGUGCCUAAUACAUGCAAGUCGAGCGAACGGACGAGAAGCUUGCUUCUCUGAUGUUAGCGGCGGACGGGUGAGUAACACGUGGAUAACCUACCUAUAAGACUGGGAUAACUUCGGGAAACCGGAGCUAAUACCGGAUAAUAUUUUGAACCGCAUGGUUCAAAAGUGAAAGACGGUCUUGCUGUCACUUAUAGAUGGAUCCGCGCUGCAUUAGCUAGUUGGUAAGGUAACGGCUUACCAAGGCAACGAUGCAUAGCCGACCUGAGAGGGUGAUCGGCCACACUGGAACUGAGACACGGUCCCGACUUCUACGGGAGGCAGCAGUAGGGAAUCUUCCGCAAAGGGCGAAAGCCUGACGGAGCAACGCCGCGUGAGUGAUGAAGGUCUUCGGAUCGUAAAACUCUGUUAUUAGGGAAGAACAUAUGUGUAAGUAACUGUGCACAUCUUGACGGUACCUAAUCAGAAAGCCACGGCUAACUACGUG